UACAAUGUCUUUUAACUAGGCACCCAGAGUCACGGUCCGAUUGCCUUUCUCCUCUAUGGACGGGCAAAUGUAAGCUAUAUGUUUGCAUUUUUCGUGCUCGCGGUAGCCUUAGAUUGAACCAAGGUCAGCUCCAAUUGGGGUUGGUCGGUUUUGUCCAACUGUUUUUUGUCGUGUCUUUCUUGUUGUGGAUUGACUACGCGGUUCUAAACCUACAUAU
Molecule: small nucleolar RNA, 217 nt
Rfam family: Small nucleolar RNA snR11
Source: Rfam